ACUUAAAUAGCUUAUAGACGAGAGCAUAGUAUUGAAGAUACUAAGGAAAUGUGACAUUUUUAAGUA
RNAcentral lists this transfer RNA (66 nucleotides) under Labidostomis taxicornis. RNAcentral describes it as "tRNA-Phe". Lineage: Eukaryota; Metazoa; Arthropoda; Insecta; Coleoptera; Chrysomelidae. The record is from RNAcentral.